AUGAGGCAGGUGGACAAGGGAACCCAGCGAAUGCCCCUAAGUGUCCUUGUUCCCUCAGUUCCACGCGGUGGCCACCCCCAGAUCCCAGGCCAGCACGUGCUUGGCCUGAGCAGCGCCCUUCCGCUCAGCCUCCCCGGAAGGCCCUGCAGACACUGGCCACCAGGGACCGAUAGCUCUCCGUGUCCUGUUUGCCCUUGGCCCAAGGACAUCCUCCCGGGAAGGCCCAGCAUGGUCGAGGGGGCAGGACCCAGGCACUGUGGGGUCCCCCGGCCACAUAGCAUCAAAUGCCACCCCAUGUGUCUCGAACUCCUGAUAACAUUGUCCGGCCAACAAACAAACAAAAAAACCCCAAAACACAAAAUUAGCAAAUACAAAUGUAAAAACCACACUCUUCUCAUUUUACAGGAGGAACCUGAGGCUGAGAGAGGAGUCACAGCGGGGUCAAGAGGUAGAAGCCCCUUGACCCCUGGAAGCGGCAGCCUCCUCAUGAAAGAAGAGGGUUUGGCUGGAACGGCGUCUUCUCUCCCACCGAGUCCUGGACUUUUCAGAACCAGCUCCUGCACCUGAUGCCUUGGGAUCCUCACGGGGCUGAUGAACAAAGCUGGUCUUUGCAGCAGCUGGGCUGGGACAGCAGGUGGGUAAAGGGCCUGCUGUGAGGGUCCUGCACGCGUCCCCGUGUGUGUGUGUGUGUGUGGGGGGGUGGUGGCAAGCCCAGCCCUCAUGCCUCUGGGUGACUGACGGGCUCUGACUCUCUCUGCGGUUCCCUACACAGUGUCCCUGUCCUGGGCACCCGUCCUCCUGAGAGCCAGGCGGUGCUCUGGGUGCCGGGACAGAGCAGGGGCUUAGGUUCUGGUCGGGGGAGACGGGCGGUGCCGUGGGCACCUGCCGAGCGCUGACCUAGGGCAUCCGGCCGCACAGGGACAUCUCUGGGUCUCUGCUGAGCGCUGGGCCUUCUGGGGGGGCCCCAGGUGGGGACGUGCGGAGGUCCCGAGCCCUUCUGCGGCGUUUCCGCGCCCACCAGACCUGUGACGAGGCCUGUGCUAUCCUCGCCACAUUCCGGGCGGCCGCGUGUGCCUGUGGAGCAACGGCUGGUAUUUCCCAGCCCUGCCCAGUGCUUUCCAGCGGGUGUCUCCUUCACAACUUACUGUCCGAGGCAAGUAGCCUCCAUCCUGCAGAGGAGGAGGCGGCCAGAAAGGUCAAGUGCACGGGCCGGGGGUCGGGCUCUGACCACGGGGCCAGCAGUCUGCGCUGGGGAGGCCACGGCCGCCUCCUGUGCUGUGAAGCUCUGAGAACUGCGUUAGGGCACCGCCUGUCCCGGAGGGGCAGUUUCUGCCGUGACAGCACAGAGAUCUGUCAAGUGGAAGGUAACUGAGGACAGAGAGAACCAAAUCCUGCCUCUCGCUUCUAACCUGACGCUUUCGUACCCCGGGGCGGGUGGCAGGAGGAGUGUCUUAUCAGGACUACUUGCAGUGUGGUCACUUUUGUUACCGUGCGAGGCUCUCUCGAGACCCCACGCCCUGAGCCGCUAGCCGGGGGAGGGGCCGGACUGUUCUCGAAGCCGCCAUCC
RNAcentral lists this long non-coding RNA (1567 nucleotides) under Felis catus (domestic cat). RNAcentral's name for it is "lncRNA (ENSFCAG00000051494.1)". Lineage: Eukaryota; Metazoa; Chordata; Mammalia; Carnivora; Felidae. The record is from RNAcentral.